UACGUAGGGGGCGAGCGUUGUCCGGAUUUAUUGGGCGUAAAGAGCGUGUAGGCGGCCAGGUAGGUCUGCUGUGAAAACUCGAGGCUCAACCUCGAGACGUCGGCGGAAACCAUCUGGCUAGAGUCCGGAAGAGGAGAGUGGAAUUCCUGGUGUAGCGGUGAAAUGCGCAGAUAUCAGGAAGACCAGUGGCGAAGGCGGGUCUCUGGACAGUUCCUGACGCUGAGGCACGAAGGCCAGGGGAGCAAACGGG
Molecule: ribosomal RNA, 250 nt
Filed under: uncultured bacterium
Lineage: Bacteria
Description: partial 16S ribosomal RNA
Rfam family: Bacterial small subunit ribosomal RNA
Source: RNAcentral